Molecule: ribosomal RNA, 409 nt
Filed under: bacterium
Lineage: Bacteria
Description: partial 16S ribosomal RNA
Rfam family: Bacterial small subunit ribosomal RNA
Source: RNAcentral
UGGGGAAUAUUGCACAAUGGGCGAAAGCCUGAUGCAGCGACGCCGCGUGAGGGAUGACGGCCUUCGGGUUGUAAACCUCUUUCAGUAGGGACGAAGCGCAAGUGACGGUACCUGCAGAAGAAGCACCGGCUAACUACGUGCCAGCAGCCGCGGCAAUACGUAGGGUGCGAGCGUUGUCCGGAAUUACUGGGCGUAAAGAGCUCGUAGGCGGUUUGUCACGUCGUCUGUGAAAUCCUAGGGCUUAACCCUGGACGUGCAGGCGAUACGGGCUGACUUGAGUACUACAGGGGAGACUGGAAUUUCUGGUGUAGCGGUGGAAUGCACAGAUAUCAGGAAGAACACCGAUGGCGAAGGCAGGUCUCUGGGUAGUAACUGACGCUGAGGAGCGAAAGCAUGGGUAGCGAACAGG